AGCGGGGUAGUCCAAAUGGCAGAGACACGAGUCUCAUAAGCUCGUCUAGUGCAAGUUCGACUCUUGCCCCCGCUCCCA
RNAcentral lists this transfer RNA (78 nucleotides) under Clostridiales bacterium. Its description in RNAcentral is "tRNA-Met". It matches the Rfam family "tRNA". From Rfam's summary of the family: Transfer RNA (tRNA) molecules are approximately 80 nucleotides in length. Their secondary structure includes four short double-helical elements and three loops (D, anti-codon, and T loops). The record is from RNAcentral. Lineage: Bacteria; Bacillati; Bacillota; Clostridia; Eubacteriales.